This 474-nucleotide long non-coding RNA is filed under the name Amphimedon queenslandica. Its description in RNAcentral is "uncharacterized LOC109588372, transcript variant X2". The record is from RNAcentral. Lineage: Eukaryota; Metazoa; Porifera; Demospongiae; Haplosclerida; Niphatidae.
AACCACGCCCUUAAAUCAAGAUGGCUGACUUGAUGAAGAUACUUUAUUUUUAUGGAAUUCUAAUAAUCAUGAAGUCUCUAAACUUCAAACUGGUCUGAAGGAAGGUCUAUCUCUGACUCUUUGGGCUAAUGACACAGCAGCUUACUAGCCAUUGGAACUAUCAAAGGAAACCUAGUAUUGACAUAAUCACAGAAUAAGAAGAAAAGAACCAAUUCUUGGUAAGCACAGUAAAAGGAUAACUUCAAGAGCAUGGAGUGAUCAGAAUGUAUUAGCAUUGACUGGGGAAGACAGAAAGGUAACCUUUUCAGACCAGGAUGGUAACAGUAUUGGACAGAGGGAAAUUAAAUUUGAAGUUCAUUCAUUAAAGUUUUCACCAGAUGGAGCAAUGCUAAGUGCUGUUGGAGAUGUCCAGAUUUUAUAUUUUUUUGAACUUAAUGAAGCAGUCAUCCCUUUAGAAUUAAUUUUUGAGGUACA